RNAcentral lists this ribosomal RNA (497 nucleotides) under uncultured bacterium. RNAcentral's name for it is "partial 16S ribosomal RNA". It matches the Rfam family "Bacterial small subunit ribosomal RNA", at positions 28 to 507 of the family's 1533-position model. The record is from RNAcentral.
GAUGAACGCUGGCGGCGUGCCUAAUACAUGCAAGUCGAGCGAACAGAUGAGGAGCUUGCUCCUCUGACGUUAGCGGCGGACGGGCGAGUAACACGUGGAUAACCUACCUAUAAGACUGGGAUAACUUCGGGAAACCGGAGCUAAUACCGGAUAAUAUAUUGAACCGCAUGGUUCAAUAGUGAAAGACGGAUUUGCUGACACUUAUAGAUGGAUCCGCGCCGCAUUGGCUAGUUGGUAAGGUAACGGCUUACGAAGGCAACGAUGCUUAGCCGACCUGAGAGGGUGAUCGCCCACCCUGGACCUGGGCCCCGGUCCAGACUCCUACGGGAGGCAGCAGUAGGGAAUCUUCCGCAUUGGGCGAAAGCCUGACGGAGCAACGCCGCGUGAUUGAUGAAGGUCUUCGGAUCUUAAACCUCUGUUAUUAGGGAGGAACAGUUUUGUAAGUAACUAUGCACGUCUUGACGGUACCUUAUCAGAAAGCCACGGCUAACUACGUG